AAAAAUGAUGACACAGAGAGAGCCUGGAUUUAUGUUCUCAAACUGUCUAAGUCCGAUGUAAUGGAAAAGAGACACAGAAACUCCUUCAUGUCCAAAGGCUGAGUAUCUCCUUGGUGAGCAAGCCAGAUGGCAGCGACAAUAAAUUAUAUUGAAAAACUGAGCUGCAAACCAAAUGAGAUGCACAUCCAGACUGCUGGAAAUUCCCAAAACCACCAGAGGGAAGGUAUGGCCAAGUCAGGAAGAAGAACUACAAGAUUCAGUCUAAGUAAAAAGGAAACAAACUGUGAGUUAUACCAGCAAUAGAAUCCAGCUUUGGAUCUCAUCAGAAUGCCCAACAAAGGAAUUGGACAAACCACACCUCGACAAAUAACCAGUACACACCAAAAGCCUACCAUAGAGCUAAAGGUUGCCUGUACCAAAGAGCCAAGGGAAAAACUGUUCUGAAAGUCUGAGCAUGGUGACACAUGUCUGUAAUCCCAGCACUUGGCAAGGCUGAGUCAAGGGAAUUGCUUGAAGCCAAGAGUUCAAGACCAGCCUGGGCAACAUAGCAAGACCUCAUCUCUACAAAAAGGGAAAAUGAGGCCUGGAACCUUGGAAAAACUCUAAGUCAUAAAAGCCAUUGACACCAAGGCCCUUGUAUAGGGUGGAGACAUCUCAAAUGAGAAUCUUAUAACCUGCUUCAGAGGAGAAAGGUGAGGGGAAGGAGAGAGUGAUCUUCCUGCUUCUAGUGUUUUCUCAAAUGCCACGAUGCCAUAUUUUGUGGUAGCACGUCCUGAACUCCAUCAAUACAUGUCCAUGUAUGCUUCUGCACAAGAAUGCUUGAGUUUUCCCAAUGACAUCAUAGCUGUCUUUCCCUAGAGCAAGCAAUCAAGAAGAUGAAAUGCCCCUUACGGCCUAGCCUCAGAAGUUGCACAGUGUCACCUCUGAAUAUUUUAUGGGUCACAACAAGGCCAUAAAUGCCAGAAUUUGAGAAUCUUUGGGCGCAUCUUGGGAGCUGGCUAUCACACAAUAAAAUGGUCUAAGUAUAACAGAUGCAGGAUCUAGCACUUGAACAUAGUACUAGGGAUUCUUGCUAUCAUUGGCCUGUGAUUAUGUCAGAAGGGUUUUCAGGGAGGGGUGUUGGAACCCUAGGUGCUGGGUGGCAUUGGAGGGUCAGACUGAGACCUAGGCUAUUUACUGACUGAAACUGUCAGCUGAAUAUUAAUUACACACAACGUGCGCACACACAAACACCCCUACACAGUAUUUUGGCACCUAGAAUCAUUCAAUAAAAAAAGAAUAACACUGAUGGUAGUUUCUUUUGCUGUGCAGAAGCUCUUUAGUUUAAUUAGAUCCCAUUUGUCAAUUUU
RNAcentral lists this long non-coding RNA (1349 nucleotides) under Homo sapiens (human). Its description in RNAcentral is "HSALNT0284286". The record is from RNAcentral. Lineage: Eukaryota; Metazoa; Chordata; Mammalia; Primates; Hominidae.